Molecule: ribosomal RNA, 492 nt
Filed under: uncultured bacterium
Lineage: Bacteria
Description: partial 16S ribosomal RNA
Rfam family: Bacterial small subunit ribosomal RNA
Source: RNAcentral
AUUGAACGCUGGCGGCAUGCUUUACACAUGCAAGUCGAACGGUAACAGGCCUUCGGGUGCUGACGAGUGGCGAACGGGUGAGUAAUGCAUCGGAACGUGCCCAGAGGUGGGGGAUAACGCAGCGAAAGCUGUGCUAAUACCGCAUGUGAUCUGAGGAUGAAAGCGGGGGACCAAGCAGCAAUGUUUGGCCUCGCGCCUCUGGAGCGGCCGAUGUCAGAUUAGGUAGUUGGUGGGGUAAAGGCCUACCAAGCCGACGAUCUGUAGCUGGUCUGAGAGGACGCCCAGCCACACUGGGACUGAGACACGGCCCAGACUCCUACGGGAGGCAGCAGUGGGGAAUUUUGGACAAUGGGCGCAAGCCUGAUCCAGCAAUGCCGCGUGCGGGAAGAAGGCCUUCGGGUUGUAAACCGCUUUUGUACGGAACGAAAAGGCUCUGGCUAAUACCUGGGGCUGAUGACGGUACCGUAAGAAUAAGCACCGGCUAACUACGUG